RNAcentral lists this ribosomal RNA (253 nucleotides) under uncultured prokaryote. RNAcentral describes it as "partial 16S ribosomal RNA". It matches the Rfam family "Bacterial small subunit ribosomal RNA", at positions 525 to 777 of the family's 1533-position model. The record is from RNAcentral.
ACGAAGGGGGCUAGCGUUGCUCGGAAUUACUGGGCGUAAAGGGCGCGUAGGCGGACAGUUUAGUCAGAGGUGAAAGCCCAGGGCUCAACCUUGGAACUGCCUUUGAUACUGACUGUCUUGAGUUCGGGAGAGGUGAGUGGAAUGCCGAGUGUAGAGGUGAAAUUCGUAGAUAUUCGGCGGAACACCAGUGGCGAAGGCGACUUACUGGACACAUAUUGACGCUGAGGUGCGAAAGCGUGGGGAGCAAACAGGA